Cherax quadricarinatus is the source of this 274-nucleotide non-coding RNA. The record is from RefSeq and is a predicted model, not a curated record. NCBI's taxonomy places the organism in Eukaryota, Metazoa, Arthropoda, Malacostraca, Decapoda, Parastacidae.
UCAGGUAGUUGGCUUCACGGUCGUCAACAGGUAGUAGGCUUCACGGUCGUCAACAGGUAGUAGGCUUCACGGUCGUCAACAGGUAGUAGGCUUCACGGUCGUCAACAGGUAGUAGGCUUCACGGUCGUCAACAGGUAGUAGGCAUCACGGUCGUCAACGGGUAGUAGGCAUCACGGUCGUCAACGGGUAGUAGGCUUCACGGUCGUCAACAGGUAGUAGGCUUCACGGUCGUCAACAGGUAGUAGGCAUCACGGUCGUCAACGGGUAGUGGGCU